UACGAAGGGGCUAGCGUUGCUCGGAAUUACUGGCGUAAAGGGAGCGUAGGCGGGUUAUCAAGUUGGAGGUGAAAGCCCAGGCUCAACCUUGGAAUUGCCUUCAAACUGAUAGCCUAGAGUAUGAUAGAGGUAUGUGGAACUCCGAGUGUAGAGGUGAAAUUCGUAGAUAUUCGGAAGAACACCAGUGGCGAAGGCGACAUACUGGUCAUGACUGACGCUGAGCUCGAAGCGUGGAGCAACAGG
This 243-nucleotide ribosomal RNA is filed under the name uncultured bacterium. RNAcentral's name for it is "partial 16S ribosomal RNA". It matches the Rfam family "Bacterial small subunit ribosomal RNA", at positions 524 to 776 of the family's 1533-position model. The record is from RNAcentral.